This is a non-coding RNA of Podarcis lilfordi (Lilford's wall lizard), 5943 nucleotides long. Lineage: Eukaryota; Metazoa; Chordata; Lepidosauria; Squamata; Lacertidae. The record is from the annotation of a GenBank genome assembly.
GCAGGCUGUGUGUGCUUCUUUUUGUCCUUCAUUCCUUUGUCUGGGAGGGGAGGAAGGAGGAGGAUGGCUGCCCUUUGAGCAGAUGGCUGCUUGCCGCUCUUUGAUGAUUUUCUUUUUUUGUGGGGGGAACUCCAGACAUUCCUAGAAGGGCCUGUUAUGGAGAGGGGUAGAAUUGACAGUGUGUGUAUGUAUGUGCAUCAAUGGCUGUUCCUUCUCUUGUUCUUUUGUGUCAAUACUGGGCUCCUGGCUGAGAGAAGGAGGGCUGGCUUUUCUUUCUUACUUACUCUGCACAUGUUCAGUUUCUAAAUGAGCUGCACUGGGGAAUUGCAUAGACCAGGGGUAGGCAACCUAAGGCCCGUGGGCCCGAUGCGGCCCAAUCACCUUCUCAAUCCGGCCCACGGACGGUCUGGGAAUCAGUGUGUUUUUACGUGAGUAGAAUGUGUCAUUUCCAUCAACAUUUUUUUUAACGCUGAAUUCUAAUGCUUGAAUUUGUUUGCUGGUUUUUCUUGCACUCCAAUUUUUAUUGAAUUUUAAUGCUUUGCCAUUUUGGAAGCCGCCCAGAGGACACUGCCAUUGGGUGGCAUAGAGAUGCUAUUAAUCAAAAUCAAGAAAUUAAUAAUAAUAAUAAUAGUAAAUGCAUAGAGUUGCAUCUUUGGAUAUCUGCACACAACUGCGUUUUGUCUUUGAAAGCGAGAGAACUUGUGCUCAUGAAAUACAGCCCUGUUUUAAUUCCAACAUUACUGAGAACAGGCUACCCCACUGCAGCCCGGCUAUAUGACUGCAACUAGAGACCAAUUAUCCCUUCUCACCCAGGAAAGUCAAGAAGGCUUUGUUGUUGUUGUUGUUUGGUCACAAAGUGACUAAUCUACUCCUCCCUCUCUUUUUAAGUAUUCAGUUGCCUAUGCUAAGAGUUAGUAGGCCCUCCAAGAAUGCUUGAUUUCUGGGGCCAAGAAUGCGGCUAAUCUUCUGAUAGAUAAUAGGGUUCUUAGUAGGAGCAGAAAAUAGCUGCAGGCUAGGAAACUCAGCUUCCUUUGUCAGCAAGGCUGGGCACUUCAGUGUAUCUGAUACCACACACUCCCAGAGGGGUCACUGAAUUGGUCUAUUUUGCAGCAGAACUAGCAAGGUGGCACCUUAAAAGACCUAACGAAUUCAAUAUAGUGCAAGCUUUCAUGAACGAGAGACCAUGUCAUUCAACAUACCCUCUGACAUUUCUCCAAUGAAAAUAGGAACAUCCCGUUCCAUAAUGAUAAUUUUACUCUUUGUACCAAUUGACAAACUGGAACGUGUCCAGAGGAGGGCAACCAAAAUGGUCAAAGGCCUGGAAACGAUGCCUUAUGAGGAACGGCUAAGGGAGCUGGGCAUGUUUAGCCUGGAGAAGAGGAGGUUAAGGGGUGAUAUGAUAGCCAUGUUCAAAUAUAUAAAAGGAUGUCACAUAGAGGAGGGAGAAAGGCUGUUUUCUGCUGCUCCAGAGAAGCGGACACGGAGCAAUGGAUCCAAACUACAAGAAAGAAGAUUCCACCUAAACAUUAGGAAGAACUUCCUGACAGUAAGAGCUGUUCGACAGUGGAAUUUGCUGCCAAGGAGUGUGGUGGAGUCUCCUUCUUUGGAGGUCUUUAAGCAGAGGCUUGACAACCAUAUGACAGGAGUGCUCUGAUGGUGUUCCUGCUUGGCAGGGGGUUGGACUCGAUGGCCCUUGUGGUCUCUUCCAACUCUAUGAUUCUAUGAUUCUACCCCACACAUCUUAUUGGGUUGCCCCAGGACUCUGAGCAGCUUCCAUCAUAUGUAAAAACAUAAUAAAACAUUAAACAUUAAAAAAGCACACCUUCCCCAUAUGGAAUUGCCUUCAGAUGGCUCGGGGAUUGGAUCCAUAGCCUCCAACAUUUCUUCAGUGAAAAUAGGGACAUCCUAAGGAAAAAUGGAAGGACAGAUCCUGAAGCUGAGGCUCCAAUACUUUGGCCACCUCAUGAGAAGAGAAGACUCCCUGGAAAAGACCCUGAUGUUGGGAAAGAUUGAGGGCGCAAGGAGAAGGGGAUGACAGAGGAUGAGAUGGUUGGACAGUGUUCUUGAAGCUACCAGCAUGAGUUUGACCAAACUGUGGGAGGCAGUGGAAGACAGGAGUGCCUGGUGUGCUCUGGUCCAUGGGGUCACGAAGAGUCGGACACGACUAAACGACUAAACAACAACAACAAGGGAAAAUGGGACAUUCUGGGAUCAAAGCAGAAACCGGGACAGCUUCUCUAAAUUAGGGAUGUCUGUGGAAAACAGGGACAGUUGGAGGGUUUGCAUCAAGUGCUGCAAGACUCCUUGUAGAUUUUGGAACCAGGCCUUCUCCACUUCACACAAACCUCCCAGGUGCUUUUUAUAGGGAUCAUAGAAUUGUAGAGCUGGAACCUGCAAUCUCAGCUAAAGCAUCCAUGGCAGGUAGCCACCCAACCUCUGCUUAAAAACCUCCCAAGGAAUGUGGAAGUAUAAGCUAUAAAUGACACAAUCUGCAACACCUGCACUCCUCUGGUGAGGAAACUCCAAGGGAUAUUUUGGAUACCUCCCUUCAUGUUCAAAACAAAUAUUUGGGUAGGUGUUUUGCAUUGCCGUUGCAGCUCUGAUGGUUGUUAAUGGUUGAAGAAAAUAACAGGGAAAUAGUCCCCUGCACACACAUGGAUUAAGUAUAUUUUAGAUAGCCAGUGCUGGUCCUGAUGAGGAGGUUUUUUUCUACACACAUUUGUACGUUGUUGCCGUCCAUCAGUCUUAGGAGACAGUGGAGGAGUGUGCCUUUGGGGGUAAAGUCAAACCGUUGGAAGUUUACAGCGCUUGCUGUGGCUGUAGAGACUGAUACGAGAGAGACAUAUUUCGUCGCAGUCUGAAUGAUAUCUCUCUGAUUGCAGGCACCAAUUUUGGGUGAGAUCUCACUGAUUUGGGGUGCGAUCUCAUGUGCUCAGCAAGAUCUCACCUUGUUUUGGUGAAAUCUUGCCGGAAAUCUCCUCCACUGGCAGUGGAGAUGACCGGGCAAGAGGAACACCUAAUGAUUGGGCUGGCCCUGUUCCUCUGUGAAGUACAGUAUUUUUUGCUCUAUAAGACCCACUUUUUCCCUCCUAAAAAGUAAGGGGAAAUGUAUGUGCGUCUUAUGGCGCGAAUGCAGGCUGAGCAGCUAUCCCAGAAGCCAGAACAGCAAGAGGGAUUGUUGCUUUCACUGAGCAGCGAUCCCUCUUGCUGUUCUGGCUUCUGAGAUUCAGAAUAUUUUUUUCCUUGUUUUCCUCCUCCAAAAACUAGGUGCGUCUUGUGGUCUGGUGCGUCUUAUAGAGCGAAAAAUACGGUAUGUUACAUGCCCAUCUGAUCCACUUAUCUUAGCGGUGUUUUAACAAUCAAUCCUUCUUCACAGGGGAUUCUGGCAAUGGUAGCUCUAUGAGGGGAAUAGGGGUUGCCUAACAACUCCCAGCCCCCUUAACAAACAACAGCUUCCAGAAUACUUUGGGGGCUUCUGAAUUCAGGACUGUUUGAAGUGGAUGGUGCAAAUGUGGUCCAUCUAGCUCAGUAUUUUGACAGUGGCUCUCGAAGAUUUCAGAGAGCAGCCUUUCACAGGCCCACCUCAAGAUGCUGCGGAUUUCACCUGGGACCUUAUGCAUGUAAAACUAGGGUUGCCAUAUUUCAAAAAACAAAAACCCAGACACCCUGAAACUCCAAAAAUCCCCACAAUUUUCCAAUUGACUUGCCUAAGAUCCAGGACAAAGCGUCACCUUUUGGAAAUUUCCCCUGGACAUCAAUUCUGCCUUUGAAAUCCCAGCAAUAACUGGGGAAGUCCGGGCAUAUGGUGGCUGUAUGUAAAACUGCUCCUCUGCCACUGAGCUCCACUGUUUCAUGUGCCUUCCAGCUACAUCCCAGGUCAAGUUUAGCUGCAGGAGUCGAUUUGCAGGCCUGGCGGGGCCUUGAUCUUUGAGGUUGUUUGUGUCAAUGAUGUUGAUAAGACUGCUAUUGGCUUCUUGUUUCAUGGGGCAAAAUUUCCAGGAAACCGGUAUCUGGGUUUCUGAUGGACUAUAUCUCACCAGGGGAGAUAUAAAUAGCUCUCUUCCUGGUUUGAGUUUUGUUUUGCAGUUUAAGAUGUACCAGAAAAAGAGAGAGAGACACAAAUUGACUCACACAGCUGGGAUUUUCACAGAAACAUUUCUAGGUAGUGCAAAGGAACUUAAGACUGUACUGGCAUGCACUCAAAACAGAUCUACGAACAGAAAAACAUAACAGAAACCUUGUGACCCAGGAGCCAUCUGUCUCAGCAUGACAAGGUGUCCUGUUUUGCAGGGGACACUUCUCUGUUUGAGUGGCCGCCUGGUCCUAUUCCAGCCUAGAUAUAACAAAGCAUAAGCGAAGUCAGAUCAAGAUUGUUAAGGACUCCAGUGCAGUUCUUAGAAUUGCUCCCCUUCUUCUCCAGAAAGGACCAGAAAAUAAAUAUUUUGGUAUAUUAAAGACUGAUAUAUUUACAGUAUUAUGGUGUAAGUUCUCUUGGUCUACAAAAAUACUGUGGAGACUGUGGGGUUUCAUAACUCUCAGCAAAGCACACACUCCCGCCCCCAACCUUGAUAAACAAAAAGAAACUACUCUGAUAGCUAACAUGAUUUUUACAUGUUUAUAGAAAUUUAUAGAAUAAUUUUUGUUUUAUUAAGAAUAAUUUAAUUGUGUUAAAUUUAUUAUUUGACUUUGCAUUCCUGUACCCACUUACCUGGGAGCAAGCCCCCUUCAUUGCAGACCCUUAUGUCUGAGUAGACAUGUAUACUUAUGUACUGUCAGUUAUACAGUGAAAUCUUAAUGACUGCCUGAACUUCAGCUCCUGCAACAAGGGAGACAUGCCUAAGCUGCCUCUACAAAUUUUCAGAUUUUUCACUUGCCAUUUUGGGCGGAGUGGGUGGAAUCUCUAACAUCUAUUUGUCCUUGUUGUGUAGUGGCAGAAAAUAGCUUGUAGGGAGUACCCGAUCUCUGAUAAGCCCACUACAGGAAAGAUGCUAGAAAGAUAGGAAGAGGAAAGUAUAGACAUUCCAAGGGCUAGAAAAUCAGUGAGAAGCAAGAAGGCAUUCAAAGGGAAGGAGAAAACAGAAGCUGUUUAUGAUCCCAGGGAUUCCUAAUGUCUGGUGCCCAAGCACCUUACUCAUCAAUCACAGCUCUGACUUCACUCAUUAGCUAAAACCACUGAAAGACAUGAGCAGCAAGGAUGUCCUGUGUCACACUUAGAAGGUUGCCUGCACAUUUUGCUUCAUAAUUUUCUGCACAGGAUGGCUAGAGACCCCUCUCUCCUUCCUCCACUCUCCUUUUAAAGUUAAAACUCACUAGUCUAGGCCCCUGCUAGUAGGGUUCCUAGUGCAGUUGCUCCAGUUGCACCAUUAUAAUCUAGCUAUGACCCUAAGAAGGAAGGACAGGGACCCUGAAGUUGCCACCAGUACUUUGUACCUGGUAGGAAGAAAGACUAAUUUGGGACUUUCCCUAAUACUAGGCAGUUGUAUCAGUCUGCCUACCUCGAUUUGUCAUUAGAACCUAACCAACAAGUUCCACGUGCAGCAGAUAUUUUUCUGAAAGCAAGGGAGGGUUGUAUCCAUUGCAUAAUACACCGUGCUCCACAACAGUCACAUUUCUUCUUUUCUCAACCAGGAUUACGUAAGCAUGGCAAGGGAUUUGGUGGCUGCUGUCGAAAGAAAUCUUUUAAAAGAUGCUUCCAGGUGUUGGCUUUCUCCGGCGACUGGAAUGUUUGUGUGACUAACCAGCAAUGCUCGUAUGUCAACGUGCUGGACACCCACAAGGAAGAUGCCAUUGGUGCCAUUUCCGGUGGUGACAGCUAUCUGCAAGCACAUCACCAGAGGAGUGGCAAACCAGCUAUGGUACCUUCCUCCCUCUCAACCCUCUUCAAUGGGGUACUUGCUGGGUUUGUUGACAAGCGCAAAUAUUUUAAAUAAACAAAUAAAACAA